Molecule: ribosomal RNA, 433 nt
Filed under: uncultured bacterium
Lineage: Bacteria
Description: partial 16S ribosomal RNA
Rfam family: Bacterial small subunit ribosomal RNA
Source: RNAcentral
AACGAACGCUGGCGGCAUGCCUAACACAUGCAAGUCGAACGAGACCUUCGGGUCUAGUGGCGCACGGGUGCGUAACGCGUGGGAACCUGCCUUUAGGUUCGGAAUAACUCAGAGAAAUUUGAGCUAAUACCGGAUGAUGUCUUCGGACCAAAGAUUUAUCGCCUUUAGAUGGGCCCGCGUUGGAUUAGCUAGUUGGUGGGGUAAAGGCCUACCAAGGCGACGAUCCAUAGCUGGUCUGAGAGGAUGAUCCGCCACACUGGGACUGAGACACGGCCCAGACUCCGACGGGAGGCAGCAGUGGGGAAUAUUAGACAAUGGGCGAAAGCCUGAUCCAGCAGUGCCGCGUGAGUGAUGAAGGCCUUAGGGUUGUAAAGCUCUUUUACCCGAGAUGAUAAUGACAGUAUCGGGAGAAUAAGCUCCGGCUAACUCCGUG